Molecule: ribosomal RNA, 167 nt
Filed under: uncultured bacterium
Lineage: Bacteria
Description: partial 16S ribosomal RNA
Rfam family: Bacterial small subunit ribosomal RNA
Source: RNAcentral
UGGGGAAUAUUGCACAAUGGGGGAAACCCUGAUGCAGCCAUGCCGCGUGUGUGAAGAAGGCCUUCGGGUUGUAAAGCACUUUCAGCGAGGAGGAAAGGUUGGUCGCUAAUAACGGCCAACUGUGACGUUACUCGCAGAAGAAGCCCCGGCUAACUUCGUGCCACAGC